This 446-nucleotide ribosomal RNA is filed under the name uncultured bacterium. RNAcentral describes it as "partial 16S ribosomal RNA". It matches the Rfam family "Bacterial small subunit ribosomal RNA", at positions 338 to 795 of the family's 1533-position model. The record is from RNAcentral.
CCUACGGGUGGCAGCAGUCGAGAAUCAUUCACAAUGGGGGAAACCCUGAUGGAGCGACGCCGCGUGGGGGAAUGAAGGUCUGCGGAUUGUAAACCCCUGUCAUGUGGGAGCAAAUUAAAAAGAUAGUACCACAAGAGGAAGAGACGGCUAACUCUGUGCCAGCAGCCGCGGUAAUACAGAGGUCUCAAGCGUUGUUCGGAAUCACUGGGCGUAAAGCGUGCGUAGGCGGUUUCGUAAGUCGGGUGUGAAAGGUGCGGGCUCAACCCGCGGACGGCACAUGAUACUGGGAGACUAGAGUAUAGGAGGGGGAACCGGAAUUCUCGGUGUAGCAGUGAAAUGCGUAGAUAUCGAGAGGAACACUCGUGGCGAAGGCGGGUUCCUGGACAUUAACUGACGCUGAGGCACGAAGGCCAGGGGAGCGAAAAGGAUUAGAUACCCGGGUAGUC